Molecule: ribosomal RNA, 271 nt
Filed under: uncultured prokaryote
Description: partial 16S ribosomal RNA
Rfam family: Bacterial small subunit ribosomal RNA
Source: RNAcentral
UACGGAGGAUCCGAGCGUUAUCCGGAUUUAUUGGGUUUAAAGGGUGCGCAGGCGGAAUAUUAAGUCGGCGGUGAAAGUUUGCAGCUUAACUGUAAAAUUGCCGUUGAUACUGGUAUUCUUGAGUGUAUAUGAAGUAGGCGGAAUUUGUGGUGUAGCGGUGAAAUGCAUAGAUAUCACGAGGAACUCCGAUUGCGCAGGCAGCUUACUAAACCAUAACUGACGCUCAGGCACGAAGGCGUGGGGAUCAAACAGGAUUAGAUACCCGGGUAGU